GUGGGGAAUCUUAGACAAUGGGGGCAACCCUGAUCUAGCCAUGCCGCGUGAGUGAUGAAGGCCUUAGGGUUGUAAAGCUCUUUCAGUGGGGAAGAUAAUGACGGUACCCACAGAAGAAGCCCCGGCUAACUCCGUGCCAGCAGCCGCGGUAAUACGGAGGGGGCUAUCGUUGUUCGGAAUUACUGGGCGUAAAGCGCACGUAGGCGGAUCGGAAAGUUGGGGGUGAAAGCCCAGGGCUCAACCCUGGAACUGCCUUCAAAACUAUCGGUCUGGAGUCCGAGAGAGGUGAGUGGAAUUCCGAGUGUAGAGGUGAAAUUCGUAGAUAUUCGGAGGAACACCAGUGGCGAAGGCGGCUCACUGGCUCGGUACUGACGCUGAGGUGCGAAAGCGUGGGGAGCAAACAGGAUUAGAAACCCGAGUAGUCC
Molecule: ribosomal RNA, 425 nt
Filed under: uncultured bacterium
Lineage: Bacteria
Description: partial 16S ribosomal RNA
Rfam family: Bacterial small subunit ribosomal RNA
Source: RNAcentral